This 490-nucleotide ribosomal RNA is filed under the name uncultured bacterium. Its description in RNAcentral is "partial 16S ribosomal RNA". It matches the Rfam family "Bacterial small subunit ribosomal RNA", at positions 30 to 507 of the family's 1533-position model. The record is from RNAcentral.
AUUGAACGCUGGCGGCAGGCCUAACACAUGCAAGUCGAACGAUAACAGGAAGCAGCUUGCUGCUUCGCUGACGAGUGGCGGACGGGUGAGUAAUGUCUGGGAAGCUGCCUGAUGGAGGGGGAUAACUACUGGAAACGGUAGCUAAUACCGCAUAAUGUCGCAAGACCAAAGAGGGGGACCUUCGGGCCUCUUGCCAUCGGAUGUGCCCAGAUGGGAUUAGCUUGUUGGUGGGGUAACGGCUCACCAAGGCGACGAUCCCUAGCUGGUCUGAGAGGAUGACCAGCCACACUGGAACUGAGACACGGUCCAGACUCCUACGGGAGGCAUCAGUGGGGAAUAUUGCACAAUGGGCGCAAGCCUGAUGCAGCCAUGCCGCGUGUAUGAAGAAGGCCUUCGGGUUGUAAAGUACUUUCAGCGGGGAGGAAGGGAGUAAAGUUAAUACCUUUGCUCAUUGACGUUACCCGCAGAAGAAGCACCGGCUAACUCCGUG